Non-coding RNA from Arabis alpina (gray rockcress), 72 nucleotides. The record is from Rfam. Lineage: Eukaryota; Viridiplantae; Streptophyta; Magnoliopsida; Brassicales; Brassicaceae.
AAAUUAGUAGCUAAGUGGUAGAGUGGUCCUCUGUUAAAUGAUUGGUCGUAAGUUUGAAUCCUAUUAAUAUUU